Parus major (Great Tit) is the source of this 4944-nucleotide long non-coding RNA. RefSeq lists it as uncharacterized. NCBI's taxonomy places the organism in Eukaryota, Metazoa, Chordata, Aves, Passeriformes, Paridae. The transcript is spliced from 3 exons. The record is from RefSeq and is a predicted model, not a curated record.
AAGUCAUUACACUGCAUCCACAGAGCAGCCUCUGUUUGACUCCUCAGCUCCUGUUUAACCACUUCCCUCCAAACAGCAGCACAGGCAGUGACAAGCCAUUUGAUCCAGUGGUGCUGAGAGUCUUCAUGCAGAGCACACGCCGAGCAGCGCGGAGAGGACGCGGCCAGAGCCGCAGCUCUGCUCGUGUGAUCCAACACCGAGGAGACCUCGGCAGUGCCAGGAAUAUCUCCAAGUUUGUUCGUGAGAGAACGCUCUGCCCCAGCGCAGCCGAGCCCAAAAUGCAGCGGGGGAAGCGAGCACAGAGGUCAAAAUCCUCCGGCAGGGGGAUAAAUAAACCAGCCUGGAGCUGAGCUCCCCGCAUCACCUUCCAUGGAUACACGGCGGGGAGCUCCCCGCAUCACCUUCCAUGGAUACACGGCGGAGCUCCCCGCAUCACCUGCCAUGGAUACACAGCGGAGCUCCCCGCAUCACCUUCCAUGGAUUCACAGCGGAGCUCCCCGCAUCACCUGCCAUGGAUACACGGCGGAGCUCCCCGCAUCACCUGCCAUGGAUACAGGGAGGCAGCGGCGCGCCUCCUCACCUGCAGAGCGGCAGGGUUUGCUGGAGAUGGGAGCACAAAGCGGAGGCGAGGGGAGCAGCUGAUGCCCCUGAAGCGCUGCUGUGGCGGCGGUGGCAGCGCACAAAGGAGCGGAGCGGAGCGGGCAGGGCUGGCAGCGCUCGGAGCAGCGCCGGGCCCGGCUCGGCCGCGGUGCGAUGCUGCCGCACACGCGGGCCUGCAGCUGAUAACGCUGUAAUAGUCCUCCUUUGAGGACCGGGGCUCCUGUGUGCUGAUUACCCAUUUAUCACACCUGGCAGCCCUGCUGAACUAUAAUUACUCUUCUCUUAUCCUGCCGCACUGUCAUGUCCGAGAGGAGAAGAGAGGCAAAGGCUCCUGCUAAUGACACAUUACCCUCUUGACAAGCACUUGAAGGUUUUAUUGUAAAUAUUCAAGAUAUAAAACAUCUGAGAUUCCCUUUUUAAUUAUAAAAAGCAAUUUUCCGUGGCUCCCGUUCGCCCCCUCCGCCGCCACCAAUGGUAAAGUUUAGGCGCCGUUAUCCUUCGCUUCCUGCAAACAAACCCGGCUCCUUUGUCAUCAUAACCCAUUGCUGGGAGGGAACUCCACUAUCUCAGGGAAAUUAUCAAAUGUAACGCCUGGAAAAUGUGCCUUUUGAACACGUUUCGCUAUCCUACAAAAGUUACAUUGCUGCCCCCCCCCAAAAAAGGGGGAAAUGUGCAUUUAUAUUAAGAAAUUAGGAAGAGGAGGAAGGAGAGAAAAAGUCCUGAGCAAAUGGGUGGUGAAUGAGUCUUUCAUUGGGUGGCUCUUGGGAGAUGUGCCUCUUAUUGAGAGGAAAGGUCUUGCAUAAACUAAAAAUUAAAGAUAUGUGAGGUGCUGUGGUACAUCCAGCCUAUUUAUUGGUCUCCAGAUGGAGGGCUCUGAAGCCAAAGACUUAUUCUCCCUUGCUUUCACUAUCAGCUGUGAGCCAAAAAAUUCCCCAAAAGAAUAGGGAAUCCUAAACACUGUGAUGCGGAGAACUAAAAACCUGAACAAUCUUUAACUGAGAUACACAAGACAGUCAUUAAUACUCCAGCCCCUACAAUGAUGGUACCAAGCAUUAUUACAUGUUAUAUAUGUUCAUUCCUACACCCAUAAUGGCAUACAGUGCUCUAGCAAAAAACUACAGCAGAAUUCCUGGAAAUCUAGGAAUUUGCCUAACCUAUAGUUUGUCAUCCUAGAAACUCGAUACCUAGACUGAUUUCACUCUCAGCUAGAAACAUGAACAGACAGGAAAAAAGCUAUAGGAAAAAUUAAGCUGAAAAUGGAAAUUAAUCCAUUCAAGUGCAUCCACAAGUCCACCAAGAAAACCAAAUUUCAAUGUGUCUUAAAGACAAGGAGUCUUUAAGCAUUUCAGAGGGAUCUGAUUGAAGUCAGGACGCUGUGCAAAAGGAAUCCAUGGACAGCUCAUCCCAAACCUUCUCAUUACACUUCUUUGUAGCAGCAGUCUGCUCAUACUUGGCUUAUUUACUGAUCUUCCUUGAAUUCUAAGAGUUGCCCACAGUGAGAGGAAAGAUGAUGUGACAGAUACAGGAACUGUCCAUUAGAAAUUGGUGUCCUGGGUCCUUGCCUAGUUUGCUUAACAAGUGUAAUGGCUGUGACCCACCCUGACAAGAUCAGAUGUGGGUUCCUUGUGAGGAGCCCAGCACCACCUCAGUGAUGGCUGGGCAGCAGCCACGUGCUGCUGUGGGAAUUGCAAACAUUUAAUGAACAUAAACGUCCUACCAAACAGGCACACACGAGGAUGGAAAACAGCAGCAAUAAAAGUCCCUCAGUCUCACACCUAACAACUCAAGGCUAUGCUUGGAACAUGCACAUGACUUAAAACAAUGGAUACAGCAGCUAUUUUCUAACAGAUCACAUGGAUUUGUAUAUACAACUGACUGCUCUAUAAAAUACAUUGAGAUAAUUAGAUAAAAGUUAUUUGGUGCUAUUAGAGGUGAAUGAUUCAAACUAAUAUUAGACUACAAAUUACUGAACCCCCAAAUGCCCAAUCUUGGUGUCCUGUGGUUCCUACUUUGGGGUGAAACAGUCAUUAGCACUUCACACGCUCUUAAUAAAAGAAAUUGCAGCAGUCAGGCUUAAAAUGACCAUUUUCUCCAUCUAUUUAAAAGGAUUUGAGGUUCCUAGACUGAAAUAUUAACAGCCUUGCUGAACCAGAAUUAUUCUGCUUCUCUCGCUUUCUGCCUGCUUCUGUCAGAAAGCCACGGAGCAUAGAAUGGCAGCGCACAGCUAACCAGAUAAUUGAUAUCUCCCCAGCCUAUUCACGGUGGGAAUCUGUCAGUUAGAGUCUAAAGACACAUACACACACUAUGAAAAUGAACUUACAUAAGUCUUCCUGUGAACCGAAUGCAGCCAACAUUUUGAUGUUUAAUUGGCUGGGUUCGGUUUACCAGCGCACACGUGUAUUCCAGGGGCUGCGCGCCGCACUCCGGCUCCUCCUGACAGAUCUAUUUAGUCGGGAGGAGGUGUAUUUUCCCAAGGUAAUUGCUCAGAAUCAUGCUUCCAAAGCCAAACUGAUUCAAACUUUGCUUAUUCACUCCUUGCAGACACACGGGUAGGACUAUUUGAAAGCAAAUGAAAAAUCCAUAGAUCAAUGUAUGGAGCCUUCCCCACACAGUGCCACAGAGGGAGUCUAUUUCAAACAGGGCUGGUUGUCAGCAGCAGUUACUGCCAGCAUCUUUUUAAAUAUACAUCUUUCAGAGCAAUGCAGGUCUUUGAGAUAAUGAAAGAUUUGCAACUACUAUAUUAUCCACCGAGAAGAAAUACACCGACUCAAAUUGGGCACACUCCCACACGUAGGUCCUUGCUAAGUAUGAGGAAAAAAUAAUUGACAGUUAUUCAACUAUUUGUGAAUAUUUUUUUACCUAGACUUAUUCCCCUAAUUAAUAGGGCUUGUCUGAUAAAGUGUGAUUUUUAGAGACUUUUUCCUAUGGACUUAGUGGCUCGAUGUGAAAGCAUUUGGAAAUAAUUUCCUUUCACCUGACAUGGCAUACACAAUCCCAAAUUCCUCAUUUUACACCUCUUUGGCUUCAAAUCAACAACUUAAAAAAGGCUUAGACUGUCUCAUAUAUGUCACAAAGACUAGGGAUAAAACUCAUGUUUUACUUUUCUGCACAGCAGAAUGGGUUCUAGGUCUUUCUAUUGCUGAACCAAAUAUCUACUCAGCAUUUCCUAAAGUUUCUCAUCAAUUUAGAUAAUCAAGACAUAUUUGACUUUCUUUUCUCUCUCUUCCCUCAGGACUGUAACAAAAUGGAAUGAUUUCCAGAGAUGUUGGUCUCAUUCUGAGUCCAAAACACAGCACUGUAACAGCUACUGGAAGAAAGGAACACUAUGAUAGCUGAAAGCAGCAAGCCAUGACUCAAAAUCAUUUUGAUAGAGAGGCUUUACACUCGUGCUACUCAAGGAAGGACAGGAAAUUACAGGAAAUUUUAAUCACAGGGGGAGGUAAAAAACAUCAGCACCCUUCCUAGUGCUGGCCAGGGUGGGCUUGCACUCCUGGGUUACACAGGGUGUUUGCACCACAACAUCCAUGAGCAGUUUCCUCCCCCACAGGUUGGAUCAGGACAGCAUUCCCACUGUGCUGGCAAUGCCUUUGGUAACUGGCAGCUUUGAGAGGCAGUAAAACUUGGACAGGGAACACCUGCAACUGUGCUGGGGAAAGGAAACACAAGCUCUUCUGCAUGCCCUGGGUUGCAAUCCUUCAUGGUUUCUUGGUUGUAGAUGGUACUGUCAAAUUUUCCCACCAUACCCUAUCAACCUGUCUUGAUUCACCCAGGAUUUAAAAAGAUGACACUGUGACACAUCUGGAGGAAGAGCUAUAGGGACUAUAGGGAAUGAUCAGCUCCCUGCUCCCAGAACUGAAGCACUUCUUCCUGACACCACUCCCAGAGUGUCCCUUCAAGCCCUUCCUUUUCCAAGACAAUUACACAAAGGACUGAGUGUCACUCACAGCUUCCCUCCUCCAUCUCCUGGACCACAACACACCUCAGAACCUGCAGGGCCUGCUGACAGUCCAGGUAAACACAGGAGUAUGUUUCCAAUUUAUGUCUCUUUAUUUUGUCUCUUCUGAAAAUACAAGCUAAUGGAAAAAUAUUUUUACACGUUAUUAAGGCACAUUAAUGAUAAAACUAGUGAGCAUUAGUUCCAGAAGGGCACAUUUUCUGUAAUGAUGAAGAACGAUGUAUAAAUUAACAUUACAGAGCUCCACAGGUCCGUUUCUGAGCCAACCAUGAUUAAAUUAACUACAAAAAGAUACUUGACACAACCAGUGCCACACUUGACUGAAUUUGGGAGUCAUGUAGGGAUCUUACUGAAAACCAGGAUGCUAAAUAAAUCCAUCUUACAAUAGU